AAUUGUUUAUUUGCUUUCGGACUUCCCCUUUGAGCAGUCGCUGAAAGCUGCAUAAAAAUGAGCUGCAGUAGAAAUUUUUCCUCUCUGGAAAGUUGUGUUUUGAUUAAAUUUGGCGUAAAUGCACAGGAUGUGAUUUUCAGUCUUUGAUGAAGUUGCUGGAAAAACAUCUGUUUGAUUGAUUUUGGACCGCGCAAUAUGGGCAACGUGUUAUCUAAAUUUUACCUAUGAAACUGAAGGGGUCAGUUUGAAUUCCACAACGGAUAUAUAAAAUCUGUGAGCAUUUUUAAGGCAUACGGAGUCGAAAGGAAUGCCAAUUUUACAAGGCAUAUCCAAGAGUUACGGUGGAUAUAAAAGUUGACAAAUGCUGGACAACAUGUAUAGGCAUGCUAUAAGAGAAAUUCAGAAGCCAUGAAGGAUGUGUGGAUGUCCAUAAUCUUUGUAUGGAUAAUAUUGCCUAUACUAAGAAACAUGCUCUUAGAACUAUGAACAGACCCGAAAUAAAGGAAUUUCAUUAAUCUAAA
Molecule: long non-coding RNA, 521 nt
Organism: Drosophila montana
Lineage: Eukaryota; Metazoa; Arthropoda; Insecta; Diptera; Drosophilidae
Exons: 2
Source: RefSeq, a predicted model, not a curated record